This 442-nucleotide ribosomal RNA is filed under the name uncultured bacterium. RNAcentral describes it as "SSU rRNA". It matches the Rfam family "Bacterial small subunit ribosomal RNA", at positions 26 to 518 of the family's 1533-position model. The record is from RNAcentral.
AGAGCGAACGCUGGCGGCAGGCCUAACACAUGCAAGUCGAGCGCCCCGCAAGGGGAGCGGCAGACGGGAGAGUAACACGUGGGAACGUACCCUUCAGUUCGGAACAACCCAGGGAAACUUGGGCUAAUACCGAAUACGUCCGUAAGGAGAAAGAUUUAUCGCUGAAGGAUCGGCCCGCGUCUGAUUAGCUUGUUGGUGAGGUAACGGCUCACCAAGGCGACGAUCAGUAGCUGGUCUGAGAGGAUGAUCAGCCUCACUGGGACUGAGACACGGCCCAGACUCCUACGGGAGGCAGCAGUGGGGAAUAUUGGACAAUGGGCGCAAGCCUGAUCCAGCCAUGCCGCGUGGGUGAUGAAGGCCCUAGGGUUGUAAAGCCCUUUCGGCGGGGAAGAUAAUGACGGUACCCGCAGAAGAAGCCCGGCUAACUCGUGCCAGCAGCCGC